Molecule: non-coding RNA, 110 nt
Filed under: Paenibacillus sp.
Lineage: Bacteria; Bacillati; Bacillota; Bacilli; Caryophanales; Paenibacillaceae
Also listed under: 1 other name
Description: TPP sequence
Rfam family: TPP riboswitch aptamer (THI element)
About the family: Vitamin B(1) in its active form thiamin pyrophosphate (TPP) is an essential coenzyme that is synthesised by coupling of pyrimidine and thiazole moieties in bacteria. The previously detected thiamin-regulatory element, thi box was extended, resulting in a new, highly conserved RNA secondary structure, the THI element, which is widely distributed in eubacteria and also occurs in some archaea.
Source: RNAcentral
UUAAAUAGUAACGGGAGCUUGGUGUGCCAGGCUGAGAGGAUAGAAUAUAACUAUCGACCGUCAAACCUGAUCUGGGUAAUGCCAGCGGAGGAAUUGGAGUUCUAUUUGUG